RNAcentral lists this transfer RNA (73 nucleotides) under Teladorsagia circumcincta. RNAcentral describes it as "tRNA-Arg". The record is from RNAcentral. Lineage: Eukaryota; Metazoa; Nematoda; Chromadorea; Rhabditida; Trichostrongylidae.
AGCCCACGGCCGGGAUCGAGCCGGCAAUCUUCUGAUUAGAAGUCAGACGCCUCAUCCAUUAGGCCACGCGGGC